Molecule: ribosomal RNA, 2379 nt
Filed under: Pseudomonas aeruginosa DSM 50071 = NBRC 12689
Lineage: Bacteria; Pseudomonadati; Pseudomonadota; Gammaproteobacteria; Pseudomonadales; Pseudomonadaceae
Description: bacterial LSU rRNA
Rfam family: Bacterial large subunit ribosomal RNA
Source: RNAcentral
GAACAUGGGGGGACCAUCCUCCAAGGCUAAAUACUACUGACUGACCGAUAGUGAACCAGUACCGUGAGGGAAAGGCGAAAAGAACCCCGGAGAGGGGAGUGAAAUAGAACCUGAAACCGUAUGCGUACAAGCAGUGGGAGCCUACUUGUUAGGUGACUGCGUACCUUUUGUAUAAUGGGUCAGCGACUUAUAUUCAGUGGCAAGCUUAACCGUAUAGGGUAGGCGUAGCGAAAGCGAGUCUUAAUAGGGCGUUUAGUCGCUGGGUAUAGACCCGAAACCGGGCGAUCUAUCCAUGAGCAGGUUGAAGGUUAGGUAACACUGACUGGAGGACCGAACCCACUCCCGUUGAAAAGGUAGGGGAUGACUUGUGGAUCGGAGUGAAAGGCUAAUCAAGCUCGGAGAUAGCUGGUUCUCCUCGAAAGCUAUUUAGGUAGCGCCUCAUGUAUCACUCUGGGGGGUAGAGCACUGUUUCGGCUAGGGGGUCAUCCCGACUUACCAAACCGAUGCAAACUCCGAAUACCCAGAAGUGCCGAGCAUGGGAGACACACGGCGGGUGCUAACGUCCGUCGUGAAAAGGGAAACAACCCAGACCGCCAGCUAAGGUCCCAAAGUUGUGGUUAAGUGGUAAACGAUGUGGGAAGGCUUAGACAGCUAGGAGGUUGGCUUAGAAGCAGCCAUCCUUUAAAGAAAGCGUAAUAGCUCACUAGUCGAGUCGGCCUGCGCGGAAGAUGUAACGGGGCUCAAACCACACACCGAAGCUGCGGGUGUCACGUAAGUGACGCGGUAGAGGAGCGUUCUGUAAGCCUGUGAAGGUGAGUUGAGAAGCUUGCUGGAGGUAUCAGAAGUGCGAAUGCUGACAUGAGUAACGACAAUGGGUGUGAAAAACACCCACGCCGAAAGACCAAGGGUUCCUGCGCAACGUUAAUCGACGCAGGGUUAGUCGGUUCCUAAGGCGAGGCUGAAAAGCGUAGUCGAUGGGAAACAGGUUAAUAUUCCUGUACUUCUGGUUACUGCGAUGGAGGGACGGAGAAGGCUAGGCCAGCUUGGCGUUGGUUGUCCAAGUUUAAGGUGGUAGGCUGAAAUCUUAGGUAAAUCCGGGGUUUCAAGGCCGAGAGCUGAUGACGAGUCGUCUUUUAGAUGACGAAGUGGUUGAUGCCAUGCUUCCAAGAAAAGCUUCUAAGCUUCAGGUAACCAGGAACCGUACCCCAAACCGACACAGGUGGUCGGGUAGAGAAUACCAAGGCGCUUGAGAGAACUCGGGUGAAGGAACUAGGCAAAAUGGCACCGUAACUUCGGGAGAAGGUGCGCCGGCUAGGGUGAAGGAUUUACUCCGUAAGCUCUGGCUGGUCGAAGAUACCAGGCCGCUGCGACUGUUUAUUAAAAACACAGCACUCUGCAAACACGAAAGUGGACGUAUAGGGUGUGACGCCUGCCCGGUGCCGGAAGGUUAAUUGAUGGGGUUAGCGCAAGCGAAGCUCUUGAUCGAAGCCCCGGUAAACGGCGGCCGUAACUAUAACGGUCCUAAGGUAGCGAAAUUCCUUGUCGGGUAAGUUCCGACCUGCACGAAUGGCGUAACGAUGGCGGCGCUGUCUCCACCCGAGACUCAGUGAAAUUGAAAUCGCUGUGAAGAUGCAGUGUAUCCGCGGCUAGACGGAAAGACCCCGUGAACCUUUACUGUAGCUUUGCACUGGACUUUGAGCCUGCUUGUGUAGGAUAGGUGGGAGGCUUUGAAGCGUGGACGCCAGUUCGCGUGGAGCCAUCCUUGAAAUACCACCCUGGCAUGCUUGAGGUUCUAACUCUGGUCCGUGAUCCGGAUCGAGGACAGUGUAUGGUGGGCAGUUUGACUGGGGCGGUCUCCUCCUAAAGAGUAACGGAGGAGUACGAAGGUGCGCUCAGACCGGUCGGAAAUCGGUCGCAGAGUAUAAAGGCAAAAGCGCGCUUGACUGCGAGACAGACACGUCGAGCAGGUACGAAAGUAGGUCUUAGUGAUCCGGUGGUUCUGUAUGGAAGGGCCAUCGCUCAACGGAUAAAAGGUACUCCGGGGAUAACAGGCUGAUACCGCCCAAGAGUUCAUAUCGACGGCGGUGUUUGGCACCUCGAUGUCGGCUCAUCACAUCCUGGGGCUGAAGCCGGUCCCAAGGGUAUGGCUGUUCGCCAUUUAAAGUGGUACGCGAGCUGGGUUUAGAACGUCGUGAGACAGUUCGGUCCCUAUCUGCCGUGGACGUUUGAGAUUUGAGAGGGGCUGCUCCUAGUACGAGAGGACCGGAGUGGACGAACCUCUGGUGUUCCGGUUGUCACGCCAGUGGCAUUGCCGGGUAGCUAUGUUCGGAAAAGAUAACCGCUGAAAGCAUCUAAGCGGGAAACUUGCCUCAAGAUGAG